GCUGCACAAUCAUGAAAGACUCCAGAUCAGUACUGAUAUUUCCAGUGCCUCUUCAUUUUAGCAGGAUAUUUUGGUUUACAUUUAACUUCACUGUUAAAAAUGAUUGUGAAAAGUACCCGCAUGCACGUGGACAUGGUUGUCUUGUGGAUCAGACACUUGCAUCAUUCUAACGAAGAUUCAAUAAGAUGCCGUACCUGGCUUCUUCC
Populus euphratica (Euphrates poplar) is the source of this 206-nucleotide long non-coding RNA. RefSeq lists it as uncharacterized. The record is from RefSeq and is a predicted model, not a curated record. The transcript is spliced from 2 exons. Lineage: Eukaryota; Viridiplantae; Streptophyta; Magnoliopsida; Malpighiales; Salicaceae.